This 497-nucleotide ribosomal RNA is filed under the name uncultured bacterium. RNAcentral describes it as "partial 16S ribosomal RNA". It matches the Rfam family "Bacterial small subunit ribosomal RNA", at positions 28 to 507 of the family's 1533-position model. The record is from RNAcentral.
GAUGAACGCUGGCGGCGUGCCUAAUACAUGCAAGUCGAGCGAACGGACGAGAAGCUUGCUUCUCUGACGUUAGCGGCGGACGGGUGAGUAACACGUGGAUAACCUACCUAUAAGACUGGGAUAACUUCGGGAAACCGGAGCUAAUACCGGAUGAUAUUUUGAACCGCAUGGUUCAAUAGUGAAAGACGGUCUUGCUGUCACUUAUAGAUGGAUCCGCGCUGCAUUAGCUAGUUGGUAAGGUAACGGCUUACCAAGGCAACGAUGCGUAGCCGACCUGAGAGGGUGAUCGGCCACACUGGAACUGAGACACGGUCCAGACUCCUACGGGAGGCAGCAGUAGGGAAUCUUCCGCAAUGGGCGAAAGCCUGACGGAGCAACGCCGCGUGAGUGAUGAAGGUCUUCGGAUCGUAAAACUCUGUUAUUAGGGAAGAACAAAUGUGUAAGUAACUGUGCACGUCUUGACGGUACCUAAUCAGAAAGCCACGGCUAACUACGUG